CGCGUAUCCAACCUGCCCACCACUUGGGGAUAACCUUGCGAAAGUAAGACUAAUACCCCAAUGAUAUCCCACGAAGGCAUCCGAAUGGGAUUAAAGAUUUAUCGGUGAUGGAUGGGGAUGCGUCUGAUUAGCUUGUUGGCGGGGUAACGGCCCACCAAGGCAACGAUCAGUAGGGGUUCUGAGAGGAAGGUCCCCCACAUUGGAACUGAGACACGGUCCAAACUCCUACGGGAGGCAGCAGUGAGGAAUAUUGGUCAAUGGGCGAGAGCCUGAACCAGCCAAGUAGCGUGCAGGACGACGGCCCUAUGGGUUGUAAACUGCUUUUAUAAGGGAAUAAAGUGGGUCACGUGUGACUUUUUGCAUGUACCUUAUGAAUAAGGACCGGCUAAUUCCGUG
Molecule: ribosomal RNA, 396 nt
Filed under: uncultured bacterium
Lineage: Bacteria
Description: bacterial SSU rRNA
Rfam family: Bacterial small subunit ribosomal RNA
Source: RNAcentral